AGCGAACGCUGGCGGCAGGCCUAACACAUGCAAGUCGAACGAACUCUUCGGAGUUAGUGGCGGACGGGUGAGUAACACGUGGGAACGUGCCUUUUGGUUCGGAAUAACUCAGGGAAACUUGUGCUAAUACCGAAUGUGCCCUUCGGGGGAAAGAUUUAUCGCCAUUAGAGCGGCCCGCGUCUGAUUAGCUAGUUGGUGAGGUAACGGCUCACCAAGGCGACGAUCAGUAGCUGGUCUGAGAGGAUGACCAGCCACACUGGGACUGAGACACGGCCCAGACUCCUACGGGAGGCAGCAGUGGGGAAUCUUACGCAAUGGGCGAAAGCCUGACGCAGCCAUGCCGCGUGAAUGAUGAAGGUCUUAGGAUUGUAAAAUUCUUUCACCGGGGACGAUAAUGACGGUACCCGGAGAAGAAGCCCCGGCUAACUUCGUG
This 433-nucleotide ribosomal RNA is filed under the name uncultured bacterium. Its description in RNAcentral is "partial 16S ribosomal RNA". It matches the Rfam family "Bacterial small subunit ribosomal RNA", at positions 29 to 507 of the family's 1533-position model. The record is from RNAcentral.